GACGUAGGGCGCGAGCGUUGUCCGGAUUUAUUGGGCGUAAAGAGCUCGUAGGCGGCUUGUCGCGUCGUCUGUGAAAUCCCGCGGCUCAACUGCGGGCUGGCAGUCGAUACGGGCAGGCUGGAGUUCGGUAGGGGAGACUGGAAUUCCUGGUGUAGCGGUGAAAUUCGCAGAUAUCAGGAGGAACACCGGUGGCGAAGGCGGGUCUCUGGGCCGAUACUGACGCUGAGGAGCGAAAGCGUGGGGAGCGAACAGG
RNAcentral lists this ribosomal RNA (253 nucleotides) under uncultured bacterium. RNAcentral describes it as "partial 16S ribosomal RNA". It matches the Rfam family "Bacterial small subunit ribosomal RNA", at positions 524 to 776 of the family's 1533-position model. The record is from RNAcentral.